CCGACACUUCAAGUCUAAGCGCUGUUGUGGUCAAGCAAAAGAGACCUCGAGAUGAUUCUGCGGAACAUGUUUAUGGGAAAGACAUUACUAGAGAUGAUGGUCAAAACAAUGUCUCUGUGGUGCAAAAAAAUGGAGGUAAACCAAAAAAGGAACAUACAUUACUUAAAUGGUAACAUCGGGUAGUCCUCGAUACUAAUCUUUUGCUCCCCUUAUUGAUUGGUGUUAUUCAAAAUGCAGAUGUCAGUGUUGGUUGCAGUGUUAGCGGGGUGAGUGCUUCUCCGAAGCGAGCACAAGGUGAUUUAGGACAUGAGUCUCGAGGCAAAGAGCCAUGUGUUCAUAUUGGCAUCAGUGCUUCUCCAACGCAAAACAAAGCGAUAUUGCACAUGAGUCUGGAGGCAAAGAGCUAAUCAUGUACACAGCAACGCAUAGUAGAAGGGCUAGAUUAGAACCAAACUACUUGAUGAUGGAGAAACAUGCGUACUCAGAUCUACCUCCAGCAGAAAAACCCUUUCCACUACAACAGGAGGAUAGUGUUUCCUACGCGUGCUACAGCUAAAGAUUUAUAUGAUAGACUGUUAUUCUCUGACUCUGCCACAACAAAAAGUUAUGGUAUGUUCAUAUGGAUCCAACCCUACUUAAAAUAAGUGGAUCUGAGCUCAUUGAGGUCUUCCAAGAGUUUGGCAUUUUUACCAGAAAGACCUACGAGUGUAUCAGAAGGAUGCUUGAUGAAAAUGAACACGGAUGGUAUGGAGAACAAGAGAGAAGAAGGUGGCGCAAAAUCUUACCGAAGGAAUGGGUGGUGAGUUU
This is a non-coding RNA of Triticum urartu, 807 nucleotides long. NCBI's taxonomy places the organism in Eukaryota, Viridiplantae, Streptophyta, Magnoliopsida, Poales, Poaceae. The record is from RefSeq and is a predicted model, not a curated record.